CGUCUCAGUUCAGAUUGCAGGCUGCAACUCGCCUGCAUGAAGUCGGAAUUGCUAGUAAUCGCAGAUCAGCAUGCUGCGGUGAAUACGUUCCCGGGCCUUGUACACACCGCCCGUCAAACCAUGAGAGUUGGCAACACCCGAAGUCGGUAGUCUAACCGCAAGGAGGACGCCGCCGAAGGUGGGGUUGAUGAUUAGGGUUAAGUCGUAACAAGGUACC
RNAcentral lists this ribosomal RNA (217 nucleotides) under uncultured bacterium. RNAcentral describes it as "partial 16S ribosomal RNA". It matches the Rfam family "Bacterial small subunit ribosomal RNA", at positions 1284 to 1500 of the family's 1533-position model. The record is from RNAcentral.